UUCAACUAAAACAAAGGAUAAAAAGAUAAACAAAUUAACAAUGAUAAAAAUAAUAAUGAGCAUGUCCAUUCAUGUCUACAUUGAGAAAAUGACAAAAAAUACCUAAAAAUUUGAUAAAAAACAAAUAGGGCAUUUACUAAUCAUUCAGACCAAUAAUGGAGCAAAACAACCCUAAAUAUAAUGGUGUCAGGGCCUCAGGGGCUUUAAUAAGAAAAUAUUUUCAAGACCAAACAAGAUUAUCCUGCAUUUAUGAUGGUUUUCUGCAUGUUGACAGCCACCAUGACGUCCAAAAAGGAAACCAGCAGCAGCGGUAACUAUCAGUUAAGGUAACCUAAGGAAGAACUGCAAGGGAAGUGAAUCUGUAAUUUGGUUGUCUUCCAUGAUGCACCUCAUAAUACCUUGCAAGGGUUUCUUGUUUCUUACAUAAGUCAUGUUUAGAGAACUCUGAAGGUGGGCCAUCCUAAAGAGAGAAGAAGGGGGGGUACCAUUUCUUGAGCCUGUUUAAUUCUUUUGAAGAGACCUGCCAAAAUUCUGAGUUAUAGGCCACUGAGUAGGAUAGAAGAAGCUAAGACAGCAGGGUGCAUGAAAUUGGAUUCUAGAGGGCACUUUGGUUUUAGUUUAUGGCUUUGGCUUAUUAAACAGUGCUAAAAUUAGCAAGGGACUUUUCUUCUCUCUCCAAACUUUGUAUAAAUGUUUUCCAGCAUUUUUGGGCCAAAAUGGAUUGGUUUCAGCCGAGAUUAAUGCGCCAUAUUGGCCAAAACUGACUGAAACUACUUUCUUUAUUAAGCAUAUAGCUUAACAUUAUCAAAUGUUUCCUAAAAUUUGGCAAUAGUAUUCAAUAUAGCAUUUAUCUAAGGCUCUAAUAAUCUAAUCUACAUUGUUUUUGGCUAAGCUUUAUUAGGGCAAGAUGCAAUCAUGAUGCAGGUCUUCACUAUUUAGAAAUCAUUAUGUGUUCAUAUAAUUCUUCUUUUUUCUUACUCAAAUGAGUUUUUUCUCUUUUUCAGAAUAAAAUGAUAUUAAAAUGAACCAAUGAAAUAAAUGGGUUUUUAUUUAAAUAGCUUAUUUUUCUUGCUUACAUACGUGAAUGAAAUAGAAUGAAAUAUAAUUAGGUAGGCUUAGAAUAUGAUAUGCUCAGAUGGGACUUUUCUUGUUUAGAUGGGUUUCUAAAAUGAAAUAGAACAAAGUAUGCUUAGACAGAUUUUUCUUAAAUGAGUUAUCAAAACCAAAUAUAAUGAAAUAUGUUUAAAGAAAAUGUUUACUUAAAUGCAAAAAUUAGAGAAAAUAUGAAAAAUUACAAAAAUAGAGGAGGAAAAAUAAAAAGUAGAUGAAGGUGUGAUAUAUUUAAUGCACUAAGCUUUAAACAGUUUAGUUUCAACAUAAAGAUACCCAAAUUACACAAAGAACAAUCCUUGAUAACUGAAAACAUAAUAGAAUAAUGUGAAAUAACAUUUCUGAUUUUUUUCCUUAAUUUUGUUAGUUCUUGGAUCGUUUCUGACUUUUAUGACCAAAAAUUACAAAACUGGGAGUGAAUAGCCAAAACCACGGAAACUGUCAAAACUAAAAAUUCUACAAUGAGUCAAAACCCAUCUAAAUCCUUGAUCGAGAGUACUGCAUGCAAGAAUCAGUAAAAAAACAAACAUGGUAAUUUAUUGGACUUUCCUUCUCUCUUUUUUCAAAGAGAUAAGGAUGACAGUCCCAAAAGAUAAAAAUAUUGGCAAUCCACAUACACAUAUGCCAUGAGUGCAUGCAUACGUUGAAGGAGGGGUUUUGUGUGCCAACCCUUGCCCUCAACCAACCCCACCCCUCCACCCCCCAAGAAAAAACAAAAAAAAAAAAAAGAAGAAAGAAACAAGAUAAAAAGAAUAAAAAUCCCAACACCCACAGUGUGCCGAUGUGAAAUAAGCUAAGCGUUUAACCAUCCAGCCUUACCAACCCCGCACCGCCCCUCUAGUGUGUAUGCAUAUACAUAUACAUAUACAUAUAUAAAACAAUGUUCUCAAUAAAAUCUUCCCUCUAUAUCACUAUAACUAAUACUUUUUUAAAAAAAAAUCCCAUUCUCUAUCCAUGCCCACCUCUAUGACAAUGCUCUCAAUCAAAUCCCACCAACUAAAUUCUCAUUAAAAUUUAAAAAGAAGAAAAAAGAAAGAAUAUUCUAUAUUUCCAGGCUUUCCCACCAUAGUAACGAAGUUGACAGCCAAAUUUCACCUCCAUUAUCAUCCCUUGCCAAUAUAAACUCAUAAGUUGCAUAUCAACCAGAGCUCCCAACAUAUAGCAUGUGCAUCAAGUUCCCGCUUGGGGUAAUUUUGUUAACAGUUACAUGAACACUUAUCUAAAGCAUCUUAUAGUGGCAUGACCAAGACUUUGGUAACAUCUCUCAUCGACAUAAUUAAUUAAGUAUCAAAAUAUUAAGUCAACCUCCAAGGAGAAGCUACAUAACCCUGCAGUUGCAGGGGAGCAAUCCUGUCAAAUUUCUCAUAUCUCAAAAAUCUUCCAAACCAAUAAUCAUCAUGUGCUAGAGCCUCCAUCUCUAAGGCCAAAAGAUAGUAUAAGGAAAGCAGCAACCAAGAUAUUAACAAAGCAUUGUAUUACAAAUAUCUCAUCCUCAUUCAAUCGCUCUUCUGAACCACAAACCAACACAUGCUUAAGGCAUCUAGUAAAGGCCAGAUCAUUGAAACGAUAAAUAAAUAACCAAAGAACCAGCAGCUUAUAGAUGGUUAAAGACAAUCUUUAGGUUCAAAAGGAAUGUUAUAACUUCAGAAAAUUAUGGAAUAUCAAUCAAGAUAAAUUUAAACCUUUAAAAUCCACAAGAAACCAUCAAUGUCUGCAACGUUUGACAUUGUUGAAUCACACAUCAGUUGAUUGUUUGUAUAUAGUUGUCAAGGUCAAGGUCUUCGGACUAAAAUAAUGAGCAACCAAUAAAGAAAUGACAAGAAAAUCGCACCGAUUUAGCAAAACAAACAGUUCCAAACAACAACGAACAAAGUGCCCAACUUUUAAAAAAUAAUAAUAAUAAAAUACAAGAGGAGGAGGUUAAUGUUAAAAGUUCAAAUAGAACAAUACAUUCACUAAACCCCUGCGAAGCCAAAGCAUGAACUAGUAAUUGCCUAUGCACUACAGCUAACAGAAUGUACCUAAAACAUAAAUUUCUUUGACUAUAAACCUUCGACCUCACAUCCCGAUACAAUUGCAACUGGGUGACAAUAAACACAUAUUGGCACGCGAUAGGUCAUUUAAAUGAUAGUAACAAAUAAUACCAUCCCAUGAGCCUUGGGUA
This is a non-coding RNA of Phoenix dactylifera (date palm), 3274 nucleotides long. The record is from RefSeq and is a predicted model, not a curated record. NCBI's taxonomy places the organism in Eukaryota, Viridiplantae, Streptophyta, Magnoliopsida, Arecales, Arecaceae.